GAACGCGAAGAACCUUACCCGGGCUUGAACUAAGAGUGACUUAUCUAGAGAUAGAUUUUUCUUCGGACACUCUUGGAGGUGCUGCAUGGUUGUCGUCAGCUCGUGCCGUGAGGUGUCGGCUUAAGUGCCAUAACGAGCGCAACCCUUUUCCUUGGUUGCCAUCAGGUAAUGCUGGGCACUUUCAGGGAUACUGCCAUCGUAAGAUGUGAGGAAGGUGGGGAUGACGUCAAAUCAGCACGGCCCUUACGUCCGGGGCUACACACGUGUUACAAUGGGGGGUACAGAAGGUCGCUACCUGGUGACAGGAUGCUAAUCUCAAAAACCUCUCUCAGUUCGGAUUGGAGUCUGCAACCCGACUCCAUGAAGCUGGAUUCGCUAGUAAUCGCGCAUCAGCCAUGGCGCGGUGAAUACGUUCCCGGGUCUUGUACACACC
Molecule: ribosomal RNA, 433 nt
Filed under: uncultured bacterium
Lineage: Bacteria
Description: bacterial SSU rRNA
Rfam family: Bacterial small subunit ribosomal RNA
Source: RNAcentral